GAUGAACGCUGGCGGCGUGCCUAAUACAUGCAAGUCGAGCGAACAGACGAGGAGCUUGCUCCUCUGACGUUAGCGGCGGACGGGUGAGUAACACGUGGAUAACCUACCUAUAAGGCUGGGAUAACUUCGGGAAACCGGAGCUAAUACCGGAUAAUAUAUUGAACCGCAUGGUUCAAUAGUGAAAGACGGUUUUGCUGUCACUUAUAGAUGGAUCCGCGCCGCAUUAGCUAGUUGGUAAGGUAACGGCUUACCAAGGCAACGAUGCGUAGCCGACCUGAGAGGGUGAUCGGCCACACUGGAACUGAGACACGGUCCAGACUCCUACGGGAGGCAGCAGUAGGGAAUCUUCCGCAAUGGGCGAAAGCUUGACGGAGCAACGCCGCGUGAGUGAUGAAGGUCUUCGGAUCGUAAAACUCUGUUAUUAGGGAAGAACAAAUGUGUAAGUAAAUAUGCACGUCUUGACGGUACCUAAUCAGAAAGCCACGGCUAACUACGUG
This 497-nucleotide ribosomal RNA is filed under the name uncultured bacterium. Its description in RNAcentral is "partial 16S ribosomal RNA". It matches the Rfam family "Bacterial small subunit ribosomal RNA", at positions 28 to 507 of the family's 1533-position model. The record is from RNAcentral.